This 434-nucleotide ribosomal RNA is filed under the name uncultured bacterium. RNAcentral describes it as "bacterial LSU rRNA". It matches the Rfam family "Bacterial large subunit ribosomal RNA", at positions 252 to 764 of the family's 2925-position model. The record is from RNAcentral.
AGCGGACGGGGAGCAGCCCAGAGUCAGCAUCAAUAUUUACCGCAGGAGAAGGGUCUGGAAAGGCCGGCAAUAAAGGGUGAUAGCCCCGUAUCUGAAGCGGGUAGUGUUGUGAACUCGAAGAGUAGGGCGGGACACGUGUUAUCCUGUCUGAUAUGGGGGGACCCCCUCCAGGCUAAAUACUCUUGACUGACCGAUAUUGAACCAGUACCGGAGGGAAAGGGAAAAAACCCCGGCGAGGGGAGGAAAAAACCUGAACCGGUACGUAAAGCGGGGAGCCCCGAAAGGGGUGACUGCCACCUUUUGUAAGGGGCACCACUUAAUUCUGAAAGGUUACCGCAAGGGGACCGAGGGACCCGAGUCUUACUGGGCGUUAGUUGUAGGGUAACCCCGAACCCGGUGAUCUACCAUGGGAGGUUGAAAGUUGGGUAACACUA